GAUGAACGCUGGCGGCGUGCCUAAUACAUGCAAGUCGAGCGAACAGACGAGGAGCUUGCUCCUCUGACGUUAUCGGCGGACGGGUGAGUAACACGUGGAUAACCUACCUCUAAGACUUGGAUAACUUCGGGAAACCGGAGCUAAUACCGGAUAAUAUAUUGAACUGCAUGGUUCAAUAGUUAAAGACGGUUUUGCUGUCACUUAUAGAUGGAUCCGAGUCGGAUUAGCUAGUUGGUAAGGUAACGGCUUACCAAGGCAGCGAUGCGUAGCCGACCUGAGAGGAUGAUCCGCAGCUCUGGAGAGAGGACGCGCACCAGCCUCGGAAGGGAGGCAGGAGCAGGAAACCUACGGGAGGGAGCAGAAGGGAGUAGGGGAAAAGCGGCGAGAGUGAGAAAGAUCAUCGGAGCGUAAAACACUGUUAUUAGAGGAUAGCAAAUGUGUAUGAAACGAGGCGCGACUGACCGGUACGGAAGAAGAAGGCCCGGCUAACCUACGG
This 496-nucleotide ribosomal RNA is filed under the name uncultured bacterium. RNAcentral describes it as "partial 16S ribosomal RNA". It matches the Rfam family "Bacterial small subunit ribosomal RNA", at positions 28 to 507 of the family's 1533-position model. The record is from RNAcentral.